CCUACGGGUGACUGCAGUAGGGAAUUUUCGGCAAUGGGCGGAACCCUGGCCGAGCAACGCCGCGUGAACGAAGAAGUUAUUCGUAAUGUAAAGCUCUUUUAAUAGGGAAGUAAGAGACAUUUGACGGUACCUGAAGAAUAAGCUUUGGCUAACUACGUGCGGGCAGCCGCGGUAAUCGGCAGGGAGGGAGCGUUAUCGGGAUUCAUUGGGCUAAAAGGGUGCGUAGAUGGCAUAUUAAGUAUUUUGUAAAAGUCGGGGGUUAAACCCAGAAGUGCAAAUGUUACUGGAAAGCUAGAGUAUGACAGAGGCAGGUGGAACUAGAGGUGUAGCGGUAAAAUGCUUAAAUAUAUGGAAGAACACCAGUGGCGAAGGCAGCUUGCUGGAUCGUUACUGACAUUGAGGCACGAAAGCGUGGGUAGCAAACAGGAUUAGAUACCCCUGUAGUC
This 446-nucleotide ribosomal RNA is filed under the name uncultured bacterium. RNAcentral's name for it is "partial 16S ribosomal RNA". It matches the Rfam family "Bacterial small subunit ribosomal RNA", at positions 338 to 795 of the family's 1533-position model. The record is from RNAcentral.